Molecule: ribosomal RNA, 506 nt
Filed under: uncultured bacterium
Lineage: Bacteria
Description: partial 16S ribosomal RNA
Rfam family: Bacterial small subunit ribosomal RNA
Source: RNAcentral
AACGAACGCUGGCGGCAUGCCUAACACAUGCAAGUCGAGGGGUAACGAGAGGGAAGCUUGCUUUCCUUGUCGACGACCGGCGCACGGGUGAGUAACGCGUAUCCAACCUGCCCCCAACUAGGGAAUAACCUUGCGAAAGUAAGACUAAUACCCUAUAAUUUCCUCAGAUGUCAUCUGACGAGGAAUAAAGAUUUAUCGGUUGUGGAUGGGGAUGCGUCUGAUUAGCUUGUUGGCGGGGUAACGGCCCACCAAGGCAACGAUCAGUAGGGGUUCUGAGAGGAAGGUCCCCCACAUUGGAACUGAGACACGGUCCAAACUCCUACGGGAGGCAGCAGUGAGGAAUAUUGGUCAAUGGGCGGAAGCCUGAACCAGCCAAGUAGCGUGCAGGAUGACGGCCCUAUGGGUUGUAAACUGCUUUUAUACAGGAAUAAAGUUAGCCACGUGUGGUUAUUUGUAGGUACUGUAUGAAUAAGGACCGGCUAAUUCCGUGCCAGCCGCCGCCGUAA